Molecule: ribosomal RNA, 257 nt
Filed under: uncultured bacterium
Lineage: Bacteria
Description: partial 16S ribosomal RNA
Rfam family: Bacterial small subunit ribosomal RNA
Source: RNAcentral
UACGUAGGGUCCAAGCGUUAUCCGGAAUCACUGAGCGUAAAGCGUGCGUAGGUGGAUUGUUAAGUGCGAUGCGAAAUCCUGUGGCUCAACCAUAUGGACUGUAUCGCAUACUGGCUAUCUAGAGGACAUGAGAGGCAAAGUGGAAUUACUGGUGUAGCAGUGAAAUGCGUAGGAGAUCAGUAGGAACACCAAUGGCGAAGGCAGCUUGCUGGACAUGUAUCUGACGCUAAGGCACGAAAGCGUGGGGAGCGAACAGG